GAUGAAGAACGCAGCGAAAUGCGAUACGUAGUGUGAAUUGCAGAAUUCAGUGAAUCAUCGAAUCUUUGAACGCACAUUGCACCUCUCGGUAUUCCGGGAGGUAUGCCUGUUCGAGCGUCAUUUGUACCCUCAAGCUCUGCUUGGUGUUGGGUGUUUGUUCCGCCUCUGUGUGUGAACUCGCCUCAAAACUAUUGGCAGCCGGCGUACUUGUUUCGGAGCGCAGCACAUUUUGCGAUCCAGAUCAACGUACAGCGGCAUCCAAGAAGCCUUAUUUAACGCUCUUGACCUCGGAUCAGGUAGGGAUACCCGCUGAACUUAAGCAUAUCAAUAAGCGGAGGA
Molecule: unclassified non-coding RNA, 339 nt
Filed under: soil metagenome
Description: partial contains 5.8S ribosomal RNA, internal transcribed spacer 2, and large subunit ribosomal RNA
Rfam family: 5.8S ribosomal RNA (bases 1-120)
Source: RNAcentral